UUCACCUGCAGCUUUGUGACUUUGUUUCGGGGUCGGAAUUGAUGGACUGGCUGCCGGAGUCACCCGUGUCUGCAAUCUCCUGGUCACCUAACUUCUCAAUCUGAAUGAGUUUGAGAACCAGGAAACGCCCCAGGUUUUGAGAUCACCAGCCAAAAUGAAGAAGAGAAUUUAAAGGAAAAAAUAUCUGGGGAAGUGGGAACAUGUGUGAAUAUAUCACAGAAGCCUAAAGAACACUUUCAGAAUUUGAAAGGAGGAAGAGCCUGUGAGAAUGAGAAUAUGUUAGAAACUUCUCUGUUAGAGAAAUGGGGGAAACUAAAUCUCUAGAAAAGAAGCUUCAAGGAUCAUCUUGUACAUAUGAUUUUCCACCAAAAAAUUUCUGUAGAAGAAAAUAACUUUACAUGUACUGAAUGUGGGAAGAGUUUCAACCAGAGUUUUGAGCUUACACAGCACAGGCAAACACACACAAUGGAGAAACACUUACAUAAAUUUCAAGUCUGUGGGAAAAUAUUCAUGUAAAUCUCAUACCUUAUUCAACACCAGAGAAUUCAUAAAGAAAAAAAAAACAUGAAUGCAGUGAAUGUGGAAAACUUUCAGUUGGAGUUCCAAUCUUAUUCAACACCAGAGGUACCAUAUAGAAAAUAAAGCUUAUAAAUGGAAUGAAUGUGGAAAGAGCUUUCAUGAGAAUAUAGAUCUUACUCAACAUCAGAGAAACUACCUGGGAGAAAAGUCCUAUGAAUGUAAUAAAUGUGAGGAAAUUUUUAACUAGAGCUUCAAUCUUAUCAAUAUGAGACAAACCAUAUAAGUGAAAAAUCCCAUAAAUUCAGUGAUUGUGGGGAAAGCUUCAGUCAGAGCUCUGACCUGAGGAAACAUUGGCAAACUUAUAUUGGAAAGAAACUUCACAAAUGGAGUGAAUGUGGAAAAUGUUUCAGCUGAAACUCAGACCUCAUCAUGUAUAUAUGAGGGAGAAACUCUAUGAAUGCAACUAUUGUGGGAAAAGCUUUAGCAAAAGCUCAAAUCUCAUUCAGCAUCAGUGGCACUGUCAUGUGGCACAAUCACCAGGUACCAGUCCCAACUUCGAUACUUCUGAUCCUGAUUUUUCUACUGCCUCACCUACUAGAAAGGAAAAAGUGAUAGAGUGAGAAGGGAGACCUUUAUUUGGAACAUGAAGUGGAAUUUACUUGAUUCUCUCUCUUUUCCUCCUCCCCACUACUGAGAAGGCAUUUGUGAAGUUAAGCAAGACAUUUCCAAAGAAGUGAUGUUGUAAAAGAAAAUAGAGAUUCCCCCCCCAAAAAAAACCCCAAGAAAAAUAAAAUAAACUUCAAUCUGCAAGCAAUUCAUCUAAAAUUACUUUAGUGAAUCAUAAGCUCAUAAUGAAUCAGUGUGUGAUUUAGCAGCCAAAAAAAUUAUUGCAGCCUUAGGGCUGCAUUAAAUGAUGAACAUCAAAAU
Sarcophilus harrisii (Tasmanian devil) is the source of this 1446-nucleotide long non-coding RNA. RefSeq lists it as uncharacterized. The transcript is spliced from 3 exons. The record is from RefSeq and is a predicted model, not a curated record. NCBI's taxonomy places the organism in Eukaryota, Metazoa, Chordata, Mammalia, Dasyuromorphia, Dasyuridae.